Populus trichocarpa (black cottonwood) is the source of this 155-nucleotide non-coding RNA. The record is from Rfam. Lineage: Eukaryota; Viridiplantae; Streptophyta; Magnoliopsida; Malpighiales; Salicaceae.
UCUAGAACUCAAGAUAUGGCCUGAACACUGAACAGUGUUUGGGCUACAUGAUAAAUUCUGACUUUUUUUUUGUUGCUACAAUUUGAAUUUCAACACGAUCGUUUUGAAUCUUGGACUCUCAUGAAAGUUUUAGGCUUAUGUCUUAGCUUUUCAUC